CCCGGAGCCCCAUCCUGGGCACCAGAGGCUGCCGAGUGGGCGCAGCCGGGGGCGGCUGGUGAGGGGAGAUUUUUAGGGCACCCACCUUGGGUCCCUAGUCUUUGUGGAUACAGUUCCAAGCAUUAAUCACUCCUAAUGGCUAUUUGUCACAGCAAGAUGAUCAGAUUGUUUGAGGUUUUCUGGUGUGUUUUUAGGGUGAGGAUUCAGGGCAGAGACAAAGAGACAAAGAAUGGGAAUCUGGAAAGCCGUUUUAACCACUUUGGCCUCCCGCCGGGGAGGUGCAAAACGAGGCCCUUUGGGGAAAAAACAAAACAAAACAAACCCAGCUUUCUUGAGGGUUUCAUAAAAACAGAAGCACACGCCGCGCUUCGCUCACUUGCCCGGACCUCAGCUUCAUCCACGGAGCCGCGUGUCUCAGACGCCAUCCGGGUCCACGGCUGAGCGACGUUCCGCCUUGCAGAUGGACGCGCUGUGACAGGCUCAUUUGCUGAUGGUCACCAGGUUGCCUCUGCUGCUGGCUCGAAUCCAGCUCCGAGACUGUAAAAUGGAGAAAAAAGAAAACAUCCCAGUGAACUGCACUGCCCAGGCCGCUGAGCUGGACUUUGUGGUCCUGCCACCUGUUUCCUGGUCCCGCGGUGCCGUGGGCGUCCACUGGGGUGGGGUGGGCCAGCAUGGAAGAUGCUGUGGGAACACCAAAGGCUCUGCCUGU
This is a long non-coding RNA of Choloepus didactylus (southern two-toed sloth), 709 nucleotides long. RefSeq lists it as uncharacterized. The transcript has 3 exons. The record is from RefSeq and is a predicted model, not a curated record. Lineage: Eukaryota; Metazoa; Chordata; Mammalia; Pilosa; Megalonychidae.